Molecule: ribosomal RNA, 327 nt
Filed under: uncultured archaeon
Lineage: Archaea
Description: bacterial SSU rRNA
Rfam family: Archaeal small subunit ribosomal RNA
Source: RNAcentral
CCCUACGGGGCGCAGCAGGCGCGAAAACUCUACAAUGCAGGCAACUGCGAUAGGGGAACAUCGAGUGAUCCUCAUAUUGGGGGUCUGUCCACCCGCCUAAAUAGCGGGUGUUAGCAAGGGCCGGGCAAGACCGGUGCCAGCCGCCGCGGUAACACCGGCGGCUCGAGUGGUAACCGUUAUUAUUGGGUCUAAAGGGUCUGUAGCCGGCCGGAUAAGUCUCUUGGGAAAUCCAGCAGCUCAACUGUUGGGCUUUCAGGAGAUACUGUCUGGCUCGAGGCCGGGAGAGGUGAGAGGCACUUCAGGGGUAGGGGUGAAAUCUUGUAAUCC